GCAGUCGAGCGAAUGGAUUAAGAGCUUGCUCUUAUGAAGUUAGCGGCGGACGGGUGAGUAACACGUGGGUAACCUGCCCAUAAGACUGGGAUAACUCCGGGAAACCGGGGCUAAUACCGGAUAACAUUUUGAACCGCAUGGUUCGAAAUUGAAAGGCGGCUUCGGCUGUCACUUAUGGAUGGACCCGCGUCGCAUUAGCUAGUUGGUGAGGUAACGGCUCACCAAGGCAACGAUGCGUAGCCGACCUGAGAGGGUGAUCGGCCACACUGGGACUGAGACACGGCCCAGACUCCUACGGGAGGCAGCAGUAGGGAAUCUUCCGCAAUGGACGAAAGUCUGACGGAGCAACGCCGCGUGAGUGAUGAAGGCUUUCGGGUCGUAAAACUCUGUUGUUAGGGAAGAACAAGUGCUAGUUGAAUAAGCUGGCACCUUGACGGUACCUAACCAGAAAGCCACGGCUAACUACGUGCCAGCAGCCGCGGUAAUACGUAGGUGGCAAGCGUUAUCCGGAAUUAUUGGGCGUAAAGCGCGCGCAGGUGGUUUCUUAAGUCUGAUGUGAAAGCCCACGGCUCAACCGUGGAGGGUCAUUGGAAACUGGGAGACUUGAGUGCAGAAGAGGAAAGUGGAAUUCCAUGUGUAGCGGUGAAAUGCGUAGAGAUAUGGAGGAACACCAGUGGCGAAGGCGACUUUCUGGUCUGUAACUGACACUGAGGCGCGAAAGCGUGGAGAGC
RNAcentral lists this ribosomal RNA (731 nucleotides) under Bacillus sp. R399. Its description in RNAcentral is "bacterial SSU rRNA". It matches the Rfam family "Bacterial small subunit ribosomal RNA", at positions 57 to 769 of the family's 1533-position model. Lineage: Bacteria; Bacillati; Bacillota; Bacilli; Caryophanales; Bacillaceae. The record is from RNAcentral.